GGAGCAGUUAGACAUCUUGCCAGCCCCCACCCCCAAAUGACAAGCGCAGCCUCCUCCCCGCAGAGCCCAGAAACGUGAAGAGCAGCCGAGAAGCUUCCCCUGGGCCCGGGUUCAUUUUGUUUCCCUAAGGAAAAGCUGCCCUCAGAAUCAACUCCGUCUCUGUGGGUUCUGACCACAAGCCCUAGGACCAGGGAGGGUCUCGGGCCCAUCCCUGCGGCUCGACCCCUACUCACCUCUCUUCUCAAGACGUUUUCAACGGAAAGACCACCAUAGGGAUACAGUCUGCACCACGACGAGUACUUCUGGAGCAGUACGAUUGAUUCGCAGGGCUUCACAUCUGUUGACACUUCCGGGGAGUGUACGUGCAGAAUCUCCCAAGCUCAAAAUAUUCCUUCUCUUCCUUUGGAGUCCCCAGCCUGGCACAGAACAGGCAGGCCAUACUGGGUGACUUCAUAUAAUCCCCCUCCCUCAAGAAAAAAACUCACCCAAUCUACCGGAAAUAAUUCAGCACAGUGGCCAAACCCUCCAAAGUACCGAAACCUCAACGAAGCAAUGAAAAGCCAUUCUGGCUGCAAUGGAAAAUAAGGCAAGCCCUGCCAACCAGGGACUUUGCAAACCACAGGAAAAACAGAACGUGUGAACUCGCGACUGGGGUCAAUACGUGUAGUUCUGGAAGGUCUCACUGAACCUGAAAUGGAGACUCUAGGACGGUCACCCGUCUCCGAGGAGAAGAGCGUCCCUUUAAGAAGAGACUGGACCCGCUGGCCGCACUACAGCUCCCAGAGAUUUCCUGGCUCGCCUCCUGUCCCCACCCCCGAGCUUUCGGCCUCAGCAACGCGUGACGUCAUAAGAGGCUGCAGCUGCCGAUUGGCUGAACUCCGCAGCUAGGUCAAGUCCAGUCAGAGGAAAGAAGUUUGUCUCCAUGUGGAAACCAUGUGUCUCUAGCUGGGAGGGGGAGGAGGAGGAGGCGGAGAAACUGAGAUCAAGUGAUUAUAAGGGAACUGGCAGAAAUGAAGGCGGGGAAGUGGUGCACCUGAGCCGGCCAGAAAUGCCCUUUGCAGUAGUGACCUAAAA
Long non-coding RNA from Echinops telfairi (small Madagascar hedgehog), 1074 nucleotides. RefSeq lists it as uncharacterized. The record is from RefSeq and is a predicted model, not a curated record. NCBI's taxonomy places the organism in Eukaryota, Metazoa, Chordata, Mammalia, Afrosoricida, Tenrecidae. The transcript has 3 exons.